Gossypium hirsutum (cotton) is the source of this 87-nucleotide non-coding RNA. Lineage: Eukaryota; Viridiplantae; Streptophyta; Magnoliopsida; Malvales; Malvaceae. The record is from Rfam.
CACGUCAGCGUGCUUUCCUGACGUGGCAACAAAUUGCCCCCUCGUGGACGCGAUUUGUUGCCACGUCAGGAAAGCGCGCUGAUGUGG